RNAcentral lists this ribosomal RNA (253 nucleotides) under uncultured bacterium. RNAcentral's name for it is "partial 16S ribosomal RNA". It matches the Rfam family "Bacterial small subunit ribosomal RNA", at positions 524 to 776 of the family's 1533-position model. The record is from RNAcentral.
GACGAACCGUGCGAACGUUGUUCGGAAUCACUGGGCUUAAAGGGCGCGUAGGCGGGUGUGCAAGUCUGUGGUGAAAGCCUCCAGCUUAACUGGAGAAGUGCCGUGGAUACUGCAUAUCUUGAGGAGGGUAGGGGCAUCUGGAACGGUCGGUGGAGCGGUGAAAUGCGUUGAUAUCGACCGGAACUCCGGUGGCGAAGGCGAGGUGCUGGACCCUUUCUGACGCUGAGACGCGAAAGCGUGGGGAGCAAACAGG